AGAGUUUCGAUCCUGGCUCAGAUUGAACGCUGGCGGCAGGCCUAACACAUGCAAGUCGAGCGGCAGCGCGGGGUAACCUGGCGGCGAGCGGCGAACGGGUGAGUAAUACAUGGGAAUCUGCCUAGUAGUGGGGGAUAACUUCGGGAAACUGGAGGUAAUACCGCAUACGCCCUACGGGGGAAAGCAGGGGAUCUUCGGACCUUGCGCUAUUAGAUGAGCCUGCGUCCGAUUAGCUAGUUGGUGGGGUAAAGGCCUACCAAGGCGACGAUCGGUAACUGGUCUGAGAGGAUGAUCAGUCACACUGGAACUGAGACACGGUCCAGACUCCUACGGGAGGCAGCAGUGGGGAAUAUUGGACAAUGGGCGCAAGCCUGAUCCAGCCAUGCCGCGUGUGUGAAGAAGGCCUUCGGGUUGUAAAGCACUUUAAGCGGGGAGGAAGGCCUGAUGGCUAAUAUCCAUCAGGAUUGACGUUACCCGCAGAAUAAGCACCGGCAAACUUCGUG
This 503-nucleotide ribosomal RNA is filed under the name uncultured bacterium. RNAcentral's name for it is "bacterial SSU rRNA". It matches the Rfam family "Bacterial small subunit ribosomal RNA", at positions 8 to 507 of the family's 1533-position model. The record is from RNAcentral.